GAUGAACGCUGGCGGCGUGCUUAACACAUGCAAGUCGAACGGAAAGGCCUCUUUCUUGCUGUACUCGUGUUGCCAACGGGUGAGUAACUCACGCGUAACCUGCCCUCGUCUUUGACUUAGCUUCAUUAAACUAGCCCUAAUUCCUGCCAGGUACUCCUUCUGCCUGGAGGGUUUUGGAUUGUUUCGCCGGUUGGGGAUCGCCUCGCGAUUUAUCCGCUUGUCGUUGGGUUAGUGGCUUACCAAGGCUUUGACGGGUAGCCGGUCUGAGACGGUGAUCGGCCACAUAGGGACUGAGAGAAGGCACAGAUUGCUAAGGGAGGCAGAAGGGGGGAAUAUUGCAGAAUGGAUGGAAGGCUGAUGAAGCAAGGCCGUGUGCGGGAUGACGGCGUUCGGGUUGAAGACCGCUUUCGCACAUAACGAAGCAUUGUGUGACGGUAGUGAGUAAAGAAGCACCGGCUAACUACGUG
This 467-nucleotide ribosomal RNA is filed under the name uncultured bacterium. RNAcentral describes it as "partial 16S ribosomal RNA". It matches the Rfam family "Bacterial small subunit ribosomal RNA", at positions 28 to 507 of the family's 1533-position model. The record is from RNAcentral.